Suricata suricatta (meerkat) is the source of this 168-nucleotide small nuclear RNA. Its record names the gene U1. It matches the Rfam family "U1 spliceosomal RNA". Rfam says of the family: U1 is a small nuclear RNA (snRNA) component of the spliceosome (involved in pre-mRNA splicing). Its 5' end forms complementary base pairs with the 5' splice junction, thus defining the 5' donor site of an intron. Lineage: Eukaryota; Metazoa; Chordata; Mammalia; Carnivora; Herpestidae. The record is from Ensembl.
AUACUUACCUGGUAGAGGAGAAUACCAGGAUUGCGAAGGUGAUUUUUUGAUCUGGGCACAUCUAACACAUUGCACUUCAGGUGUGCUGACCUCUGUGAUUUUCUCAAAUAUGGGAAAUUGGACUGCAUGAUUUGUGGUAGAGAGGGAUUGUGUUUGUACUCUCCACUU